ACUUAAAUAGCUUAUUUAGAGUAUAAUAUUGAAGAUAUUAAGGAGAUUGUUUAAUCUUUAAGUA
RNAcentral lists this transfer RNA (64 nucleotides) under Hipparchia autonoe (Russian grayling). Its description in RNAcentral is "tRNA-Phe". Lineage: Eukaryota; Metazoa; Arthropoda; Insecta; Lepidoptera; Nymphalidae. The record is from RNAcentral.